Long non-coding RNA from Mauremys reevesii (Reeves's turtle), 639 nucleotides. RefSeq lists it as uncharacterized. The record is from RefSeq and is a predicted model, not a curated record. NCBI's taxonomy places the organism in Eukaryota, Metazoa, Chordata, Testudines, Geoemydidae. The transcript has 3 exons.
GUACCUUAUUCAAACCUCAUGAGUCUACAAAAUUCGGCUGGAAAUGUUAUCAUAUGUUAGCAUUUCUGUUUCUGGUGCCUGAUGAAAGCUGGAGGUGCAGAGAGAUGCAAAAAUGAAAACCAAUGGGAAGAAAAGAUACCUAGCCUCUUUUAUGUCUCUAAAAGGCUGGACUGCAGUUGUUAUGCUGUGUACAUGAAGAUGUAUUUGUUCAAGAGGUCCAGUCAUCGUGCUAAAUAGAAUCGCUCACUUUGGUUGGCAAAUAUUGACUCAAGCUGUUACGUUUUUAUGUAUUUCAGCGACUCACAAUGUUUGAGAGCUCAGCAAGCAAACAAGAGCAGUGUCACAAAUGUGGUCCUUUAAGGGUGUCUAGUCUUGGAUUUGCCAUCCACAUGAUGCAGAGCAUGACUGUAGUGAGGAGGCACAAGUAUUCAUGGACAUUCCAGGGUUCUUGAGAAGGAGUUUCUCACAUACAUACAAAAAAACAGCCUGCAGAGAAAACACCACUACACAGUCUAUGAAGAGUAAGAAGAGAUAUUUUAGAUGUCCUAAAAUCUUGCCUCUAGCAAGAUCUCUCCAGAACAAUGGUGUGUUCAUGGAGAAGAUGUAUUAUGAAGAAAUCCUCCUCUUUCCUUAUAAGGG